GAAGUCUGAUGGAGCAACGCCGCGUGAGUGAUGAAGGUUUUCGGAUCGUAAAACUCUGUUGUAAGGGAAGAACCAGUACGUCAGGCAAUGGACGUACCUUGACGGUACCAGAGGAGGAAGCCACGGCUAACUACGUGCCAGCAGCCGCGGUAAUACGUAGGUGGCGAGCGUUGUCCGGAUUUACUGGGCGUAAAGGGUGCGUAGGCGGAUAUUUAAGUCAGAUGUGAAAACCCCGGGCUUAACUUGGGGACUGCAGUUGAAACUGGAUAUCUAGAGUGCAGGAGAGGAAAGCGGAAUUCCUAGUGUAGCGGUGAAAUGCGUAGAGAUUAGGAAGAACACCAGUGGCGAAGGCGGCUUUCUGGACUGUAACUGACGCUGAGGCACGAAAGCGUGGGUAGCAAACA
Molecule: ribosomal RNA, 404 nt
Filed under: uncultured Eubacteriales bacterium
Lineage: Bacteria; Bacillati; Bacillota; Clostridia; Eubacteriales
Description: bacterial SSU rRNA
Rfam family: Bacterial small subunit ribosomal RNA
Source: RNAcentral